Molecule: small RNA, 53 nt
Filed under: Salix viminalis (osier)
Lineage: Eukaryota; Viridiplantae; Streptophyta; Magnoliopsida; Malpighiales; Salicaceae
Source: RNAcentral
AUACAACGGAAAAUCCGUUGCAAAUUAAACUUGCAACGGAAUAUCCGUUGCAA